This 428-nucleotide ribosomal RNA is filed under the name Streptococcus sp. oral taxon 058. RNAcentral's name for it is "bacterial SSU rRNA". It matches the Rfam family "Bacterial small subunit ribosomal RNA", at positions 28 to 448 of the family's 1533-position model. The record is from RNAcentral. Lineage: Bacteria; Bacillati; Bacillota; Bacilli; Lactobacillales; Streptococcaceae.
GACGAACGCUGGCGGCGUGCCUAAUACAUGCAAGUAGAACGCUGAAGGAGGAGCUUGCUUCUCUGGAUGAGUUGCGAACGGGUGAGUAACGCGUAGGUAACCUGCCUGGUAGCGGGGGAUAACUAUUGGAAACGAUAGCUAAUACCGCGUAAAAUUGAUUAUUGCAUGAUAGUCAAUUAAAAGGUGCAAUUGCAUCACUACCAGAUGGACCUGCGUUGUAUUAGCUAGUUGGUGAGGUAACGGCUCACCAAGGCAACGAUACAUAGCCGACCUGAGAGGGUGAUCGGCCACACUGGGACUGAGACACGGCCCAGACUCCUACGGGAGGCAGCAGUAGGGAAUCUUCGGCAAUGGACGGAAGUCUGACCGAGCAACGCCGCGUGAGUGAAGAAGGUUUUCGGAUCGUAAAGCUCUGUUGCAAGAGAAGA